Molecule: non-coding RNA, 1031 nt
Organism: Labrus bergylta (ballan wrasse)
Lineage: Eukaryota; Metazoa; Chordata; Actinopteri; Labriformes; Labridae
Source: RefSeq, a predicted model, not a curated record
GAUAAUCAGAUCCGCAUGAAGCUGCUGCUGCUCGGUCGGACUCUACGCCCGUCAAGAAGUUUGAAGUUUUGGAAACAACGGAGACUUUUAGAGUCAUUUAAAAAGUGUAGCUGUUCAGUCUUGUCUUGUUUUUCUCUACUUCACCGUCCCGGACCCACGGGGGACCGAGGAGUUUCUCCAGACGGGACCGAAACUCUUCGCCUAGCCGUUAGGAUGGAACUUUAACGAACAGUUUUUUUUUUUGAUCCGUCUCCAUGGAAACGGAAGCCCCGCCCAAAUCCUCAGAGAUCAGAGACGAUCUCACUCAUCUGAGAGAGACAUCGUGGACUGUCAGUGAUCGACAAUCAAACAGCCUUCAUGGAGACGUGUCCAAAACACUGAGAUGAACAAAAGUGGGAUCAUGUUGGAGUGGUUAAACAACACCGCCUCCACAGUAAAGAGUCACAGUGACCCCCUGACCCUCCAAACAGCAGGAGGCCGACCCUCAGUGAAGAGGCGGGAAUGUUUGAGCCUUUAUUGACCGCCGCCGACACUCAGCUCUGCGUUGUCCCCGCUGCUAAAUGACGUGUGUGUCGGUAUGUGUUUGUGUGUUAGCUGUCGGGGAGGACGAGCGGCGCUGAAUGGACGCUCACUUUCUCACAUCAGUAAAUUCGAGCCAUAGAGAAAAAGUCUCUCAGAGACGUGGGGCCGACUGUCAGAGCUACACGGUGAACAUUUGAGUUACAUUCACAGCGUUGGGUGAAAACAAAACAGAAGUUCUGGUUCAUUUCUUUUAUUAAAAUGAACAAAAAAAACAAUGUUUCGUCCCUGAUUUAGCCAGCGUCACCUCCUCUGCUCUCCGACUGCCCGUAAGAAACAUACUCAUACACUUUUGUGUCUUACUAAGACGACAAAACGGGAUGCAAAUAUUAUCAGUAUUUGACGACUUUUGUAUUUGAACCGACCACUUAAGGAUUUAUGUAAAAGUCGAGAUUCUUAUCUUCUGAGAUUUUAGAUAGAUUCAUAACUUUUCUUUUGUUGGCUAACCAGUC